RNAcentral lists this ribosomal RNA (254 nucleotides) under uncultured bacterium. RNAcentral describes it as "partial 16S ribosomal RNA". It matches the Rfam family "Bacterial small subunit ribosomal RNA", at positions 524 to 776 of the family's 1533-position model. The record is from RNAcentral.
UACGGGGGGGGGCACGCGUUGUUCGGAUUUACUGGGCGUAAAGGGCUCGUAGGCGGCCAACUAAGUCAGACGUGAAAUCCCUCGGCUUAACCGGGGAACUGCGUCUGAUACUGGAUGGCUAGAGGUUGGGAGAGGGAUGCGGAAUUCCAGGUGUAGCGGUGAAAUGCGUAGAUAUCUGGAGGAACACCGGUGGCGAAGGCGGCAUCCUGGACCAAUUCUGACGCUGAGGAGCGAAAGCCAGGGGAGCAAACGGG